AUCAGCAAGUGGCUUUAGUCGCGCUCUGAACAUCACGAGGAGAGGUCGCACGUCUUGACGUUUCCAAGCCGGAUUUACGAAGGUUUACGUGAUGGGUAAGCUUCACUAGGAUUAUGCAAGUAAGUACGGCGUGUAAUCUGGAAUUACUUGGAGAAAGGACACGGCAAAGGAGCUCCCGAUGGCGUGGGCGAAGUAUUGAAAAGAAUAGCAGAUCGCAUCGUCGCUGAAGGCAAUGACAUUCCAAACAUUGAUGUCCUUAUCAGCUAUCUUAAAGAUAAAUGUCCGGGAGUUACGAUAGCGGAGGUUCAAAAAUCGUAUGAUGGAGAAGGAUCUGUUAAUUCCCUCUGAUUUAAGAGAAUUCCGGGGCACCAUGGAUGUUCAUCAGGUGAUAUGGAUCAAUAAAACUCCCGAAGUCCUCGCCAUGAGACGUCUUAGCUGUCAUUUAGAAAAAUGAUCGGAAGAACCAAUUCAUUGUCCUCAUGGUCAACAUAUAGAUUUUUAUAAUAUCAAAAGUUCAAAUGUGCACAGCACUGGUACAUCUGAAACCGCGAAAUCAAACAAGACCGUAAAAGAAAAUUACUUCGAUAAACUUUCUACUUCGAACCCAAAUUAUGGGCUAGCUGCAACUGAAGUUCAGAGCAUUCAAUCGGAUAAUCAUAUUCCAUCUGAUGAUAGCUUAUGGAUUAAUGUGCCUUCAGUAAAAUAAAAUCUUAAUUUCCGAUUCUAUGUGUAAAGUAGUAACGUCUGCUCUCUAUGGCGGGGAAGAGUCGGAUUCUACUGAUGAAUA
This is a long non-coding RNA of Ostrinia furnacalis (Asian corn borer), 787 nucleotides long. RefSeq lists it as uncharacterized. The transcript is spliced from 2 exons. The record is from RefSeq and is a predicted model, not a curated record. Lineage: Eukaryota; Metazoa; Arthropoda; Insecta; Lepidoptera; Crambidae.